Molecule: ribosomal RNA, 492 nt
Filed under: uncultured bacterium
Lineage: Bacteria
Description: partial 16S ribosomal RNA
Rfam family: Bacterial small subunit ribosomal RNA
Source: RNAcentral
AGUGAACGCUGGCGGUAGGCCUAACACAUGCAAGUCGAACGGCAGCACAGUAAGAGUUUGCUCUUACGGGUGGCGAGUGGCGGACGGGUGAGGAAUACAUCGGAAUCUACUUUUUCGUGGGGGAUAACGUAGGGAAACUUACGCUAAUACCGCAUACGACCUACGGGUGAAAGCAGGGGAUCUUCGGACCUUGCGCGAUUGAAUGAGCCGAUGUCGGAUUAGCUAGUUGGCGGGGUAAAGGCCCACCAAGGCGACGAUCCGUAGCUGGUCUGAGAGGAUGAUCAGCCACACUGGAACUGAGACACGGUCCAGACUCCUACGGGAGGCAGCAGUGGGGAAUGUUGGACAAUGGGCGCAAGCCUGAUCCAGCCAUACCGCGUGGGUGAAGAAGGCCUUCGGGUUGUAAAGCCCUUUUGUUGGGAAAGAAAAGCAGCAGGUUAAUACCCCGCUGUUCUGACGGUACCCAAAGAAUAAGCACCGGCUAACUUCGUG